This 496-nucleotide ribosomal RNA is filed under the name uncultured bacterium. Its description in RNAcentral is "partial 16S ribosomal RNA". It matches the Rfam family "Bacterial small subunit ribosomal RNA", at positions 28 to 507 of the family's 1533-position model. The record is from RNAcentral.
GAUGAACGCUGGCGGCGUGCCUAAUACAUGCAAGUCGAGCGAACAGACGAGGAGCUUGCUCCUCUGACGUUAGUGGCGGACGGGUGAGUAACACGUGGAUAACCUACCUAUAAGACUGGGAUAACUUCGGGAAACCGGAGCUAAUACCGGAUAAUAUAUUGAACCGCAUGGUUCAAUAGUGAAAGACGGUUUUGCUGUCACUUAUAGAUGGAUCCGCGCCGCAUUAGCUAGUUGGUAAGGUAACGGCUUACCAAGGCAACGAUGCGUAGCCGACCUGAGAGGGUGAUCGGCCACACUGGACCUGAGACACGUUCCAGACUCCACGGGAGGCAGCAGUAGGGAAUCUUCCGCAAUGGGCGAAAGCUUGACGGAGCAACGCCGCGUGAGUGAUGAAGGUCUUCGGAUCGUAAAACUCUGUUAUUAGGGAAGAACAAAUGUGUAAGUAACUAUGCACGUCUUGACGGUACCUAAUCAGAAAGCCACGGCUAACUACGUG